GUGGAAAGCAAUCCCGGAAACCCCGACGUUCGGCGGCCCUUGGAGGGAAGCAGGGCCGCAAGGUUGGUGGGGCAGACCCUUUCGUACCCGGGCGGGCGCGGGGCAUGCUGGGAGUUGUAGUUCGGUGUUGGUUUAGGGUUUUGGGCGUGGAGGCUCCAAAGUCUAGGUUUGACUUCAGCCUGCCCCUGAUAGAUAGUUCCUGGGCCGCAGGUGAGCCGUUAUUGACUGCCGUUAAGGACCGUUACUAUUCUCGGACAUACAGAGAUUGAAUGAACACUAAUGAAGCAUGACCAAGGAAGAGGGAUUAUAGGGAAGAAGGUAAAACAAUCCCAACUCUCUGAGCUUAUCACAUGAGAAUGGUGGAACUCUUCCUUCUGGCCCUGCUGGUUCGUUCUCCCACCCAUUCUGGCAGGAACAUCAUAAGAAGAUAGUAGGUAGUGAGGUACAGCAGGGCUCAGAAGGGUGGCUGGGGAACAUGCCCAUGAAGCUUUAGCUUACAGAUUCUGAAAUUUUCUCCUAGUUGUGAAUACCUCCAUUAUCUCUUCAUGAUUGUUAUUGGAGGCAGCAGAGUAUAGUGGUUAGGAGUAUAGGCUCCAGAAAGUGACUCCCUGGGUUCUAAGUCCUGGCUGUGUAUCUCUGAUUAAUUAAUGGUUUCAAUGUCAUAUAUAUUCAAUAUCAGGGUACAGUGGCACAUGCCUGUAAUCCUGGUGCCUCAGGAGGCUGAGCAAAGGGGACUGCAAAUUUGAGGCCAGCCUGGGCAACUUAGCAAGACCCUGUCUCAAAAUAAAAAGGGCUGGGUGUGUAGCUCAGUGGUAUAACACCCCUGGGUUAAAUUCCUAGUGCCACUUAAGAGCCGGGGAGGCUGAGAAUGUAGCUCAGUGGUAGAAGUGGGUUUGAUCCCUAGAACCACAAAUAAAGAAAAGGAAAGCAGGAAGGAAGGAAUAGUUGCUCAUAGUGUCCAUUAUUGAUUGAAGUCCUUGAUAUCCUCCCAGCAUAUCAGAGAUAACCCUUUCUUGUAGGCAUAGGAAGGAUGAGCCAGGUUGUGAUUCAUACGUUCUAUAUCUUAGAGCACUCAUGACAUGUUAGGUUCCAUGGCCAGAACUGGAGAAUCAGGCAUAGGAUAACAGUUCCUGCCCUGGGUUCACUCCACAAAUUCGUAGGUAUCCAGACUAAUAGUUACAGUGCAGUACAUAAGGGAACGUGGAUUCCAGCAGGAGCCCAGAAGAGGGUUCCCUAACCUGAGGAAAUGACAGCUGAGCUGAGUUUUCCAGGGAAAGCAUACAGGUAGAUGUUCUAGACAGAAGAUGUGAAAGUGCAGAUGCCUGAGAGAAAGGUAUUUUUGAGGUACCACAAUGAGAAUGAUGAGACUGGAGGUUGGAGUGUGAGGAGCAUUUCGGGAAGUUGAGAUUCAAGAAGCAAGCAGGAGUUGGGACAUGGGACAGGAGUUUGGCCUUCAUCCCAAAGACUUGGAGGCCACUGAUGGAUUUUUAGCUGGGGAGAAAUAGGAUAAAAUUUUUGUUGGCUAAAGGUCAUACUGGGCAGCAGCCUGCCCGUUUAAGGCAAGAGCAUUUUUUUUGCUGUGAAGAAUGAGGGCCAGUGGAUUCAGUGUGCAAUAAAGGAUAGGAAAAUGGCCUUUUGCAUUUUCUUCUCUCCCCUGGAUCUUGUCAUCAAGAAGGCACUCCUUGUUUCCUGAGAUACCCGGACACCUAGGCCUGUAACACAGUGGGCCCAGCGUUUUUGAUGCUGUGGUUUUAAGAGUGUGUCAGGCAUUUCCUGCCCAAAAGGCACUUAAGGUAAAAUCAGAAAGACCAGAUGCACUUAAAAAUAAAAUAACAGGGGCUGGGGAUAUAGCUCAGUGCCACAGCUCUUGCUACCAUGUGACAGCCUUGGGCUUGAUCCCUGGUACCAUCAAAAUAAAAAAAUUGAGAAGGUAAGUGAAGUUGAGGGUGGGAGUGCAUAUCUUUGGGGCAGGGUUGUAGCGAGGGUAAGAUUCCUGAAGACAGCAGACUUUGAGGUUGGCUUUGAAGCUGUUUGAGCUCUGGAUUCUUCAUUAUAGUUUCUGAAGGCCCAAUGAACUCCCUCCUGAAUUUAAGUCAGAAUUGUAGCCUUACUUUUGUUUGUGUGGUUAUUAGGUUUGUGACCAUUUCCCUCCACAAACCCUUAGGUUUUAUGAGGUUGGAUUUUCCUCACCUCUGUAUCCAUUGGGCCAGCACACAGUAAACCUUCAAUUAAUAUUUUCUGGAUAAGGUUGGCGGUAUAACUCAGUGGUAGAGCCCUCCCUAGCAUGUUUGAGGCCCUGGGUUGGAUCCCCAGCACUGUGUGAAAAAGAAAAAAAUUGUUGGAUUAAUUAACGUGUGAGUGAGCAAAUGAGAAAAUGGUGAGAAAGAAGGAAUGAAAUCUUCAGGGUAGAAAAAUGUAAUAAGCAAAGGGCAGGGGCAGGAACAGUAUAUUGAUCUCUUAUGUUUGUACAGUGCUUUAUUGCUCAAAAAAGUCACCAUCUUAUUUGAUCUCUAUUGUCAACUAUCUUGAAAUGAUUAAGACAGGUGUUAUUCCUGAUUUACAAUGAGAAAAGAAAGAAGUUCAGUGAUUUGUCCAAAGUUUCACUGCUAUUAAGUAAGGAGAUCAGACUUGAACCUGAAUAUUUUAACACAAAGCCGGUGUAGUAACUUGAUUUCCUUUCUUCUUUCUCCUUUCCCAAGGGGAACAUACAGUGAGACAUGGGUCUAGAGUGGUGAUCUGGCCAGGUCAUGGAAAAUCUUAAGUUUCAGUCUGAGGAAUUUGGACUUUAUCCUCCAGCCUAUGGGAGGUUUUUUGUUUCAUUUUGAGUUUUUGAAAGAUUUUGUGUAUUUAUUUAUUUGCAUUAUUGGAGAUUGAACCCAGGCCCUUAAGCAUGCUAGACAAGUGCUCUACCACUAUACCACAUCCCUAGCCCUUUUUGUUUUUUUCAGGAUCUCACUAAGUUGUCCAGGCUGGCUUACAAUGUGAUCUUCCUGCCUCAGCUCCCAAGUAACUGGGAUUACAAGCGUCCACCACUGCAACUGGCUUAGAAGAUAUCAAAUAAAGGAUAAAUAUUAAUGAUAUUUGUGAAGUGUGGUAUAAAUUUAAUUGCAUAUUAAUAUUUAUUUAAAAUAAACAUAUGGAGGGCUGGGGAUGUGGCUCAAGUGGUAGCGCGCUCGCCUGGCAUGCGUUCG
This is a long non-coding RNA of Ictidomys tridecemlineatus (thirteen-lined ground squirrel), 3191 nucleotides long. The record is from Ensembl. NCBI's taxonomy places the organism in Eukaryota, Metazoa, Chordata, Mammalia, Rodentia, Sciuridae.